UUUAACAUGAGAGUUUGAUCCUGGCUCAGGAUGAACGCUGGCGGCGUGCUUAACACAUGCAAGUCGAACGAAGCAAUUUAACGGAAGUUUUCGGAUGGAAGCUAGAUUGACUGAGUGGCGGACGGGUGAGUAACGCGUGGGUAACCUGCCUCACACUGGGGGACAACAGUUAGAAAUGACUGCUAAUACC
RNAcentral lists this ribosomal RNA (190 nucleotides) under Clostridium sp. AF37-7. RNAcentral's name for it is "partial 16S ribosomal RNA". It matches the Rfam family "Bacterial small subunit ribosomal RNA", at positions 1 to 170 of the family's 1533-position model. The record is from RNAcentral. Lineage: Bacteria; Bacillati; Bacillota; Clostridia; Eubacteriales; Clostridiaceae.